RNAcentral lists this long non-coding RNA (1058 nucleotides) under Lonchura striata (white-rumped munia). Its description in RNAcentral is "domestica (Bengalese finch) lncRNA (ENSLSDG00000010365.1)". Lineage: Eukaryota; Metazoa; Chordata; Aves; Passeriformes; Estrildidae. The record is from RNAcentral.
AGGAGAGUAAUUAACUCUUUUGGGAAGAGAUGCUUCUUUUUGUUUCUUUCAAGCCCAGCUCCCACUAGAUUUAUUUGAUGAUGCUUGCUCCUGAAUUGGAGGAUAGAAGGAACAAACCAAAAUCUGGUGGCACUGUUUUUGGUCCAGAGAUUUUAAGGAACAUUGUGACCUGAUUCCCAGACCUGCAAAGCUGCUUCUGGCACACCUGGCUGAGGUGAGAGUGAUCCUACCUACAAAAAAGCAAGAUGGAGUCUGGGAGACCAAUACUUAGGUAGGGAAGUCUGCUAACAAGUCUGGGCACUGGGAAGGAAGAAAUGUCUUCUUUGACUCUGUUUUGUGUAAGGGUGACAGGAGGCAAAAAAAAGGUAUAGCUUAAGAAAGAGGCUCUGUUGGGAGAAAAAGAGAGGACUGUUAUGAGCUGGUUAUAAAACAUGGCCACCAAUAAGUGAAAAAGGUAAGAAUUCACAGUGGAGACCUCUGUAUUCAUCUAGUCCAGCCUUCUGUGAGUAUCUUCAGGACAGAGACCCAGAGACCCUCCAGAUACCUCUUUCAGUGCUGAGACUACUCUCAGAAGGAAGAUUUUUUCCCUUUAUGUCUGAUCAAAAUUUUCCUGGGAGCUAUUUUUGUCCCUCAUUCUUUGCUAUGUAUCUCUGAGAACAACUUGGCAUCCUAUUUGCAAUGGCUCUUUACAUAGCAGAAGAUAGCAAAGAGUCCCAAAUGUCCAGACUCUCCUCACAUGCCAGGUGCUCUAGCCCCAAACAUGCCCCCCUCUUGGCUCAUUCCACUUUGUUGGUAUCUUUUCCCAGGGAGCCUCAAACUGGACCAGGCACUCCAGAUACUCUCUCCAAGUGCCAGACAGAGGGGACGGGUGGCUGAAGACAGCACGCUUUCCCUGGGCUUGCAAAUACCAUCUUCACACUUCCAGGAGCUUUCCAUCAUGAUUAUUGCAGCCUUCUGCUUUUAAUCACAUCAUGCUGUUCCCUCACUAGAGGAGGUGGAGGCAGGAGGGGACUGUGUUGCCAAGAAGGAAGAGCAAUGGACACUGAAGUUUGGAGGUA